AUUGAACGCUGGCGGCAGGCCUAACACAUGCAAGUCGAACGAGUGGCGGACGGGUGAGCAAUGUCUGGGAAACUGCCUGAUGGACGGGGAUAACUACUGGAAAAGGUAGCUAAUACCGCAUACCAUCGGAUGUGCCCAGGUGGGAUUAGCUAGUAGGUGGGGUAAAGGCUCACCGAGGCGACGAUCCCUAGCUGGUCUGAGAGGAUGACCAGCCACACUGGAACUGAGACACGGUCCAGACUCCUACGGGAGGCAGCAGUGGGGAAUAUUGCACAAUGGGCGCAAGUCUGAUGCAGCCAUGCCGCGUGUAUGAAGAAGGCCUUCGGGUUGUAAAGUACUUUCGGCGGAGAGGCGUUACCCACAGAAAAAGCAACGGCUAACUCCGUGCCAGCCGCCGCGGUAAUUC
RNAcentral lists this ribosomal RNA (406 nucleotides) under uncultured bacterium. RNAcentral describes it as "partial 16S ribosomal RNA". It matches the Rfam family "Bacterial small subunit ribosomal RNA", at positions 30 to 526 of the family's 1533-position model. The record is from RNAcentral.